GCGGAAGGCAGACGGCCUGAAAGCUCUGCUCCUGUGGUUUGCGGUUUGCCCCUGUGAUGGACGUGGGCCAAGACACAGCUGGGGACAGUACCGGCUCUGCACACUUGCGGAACUUGGAGUGCAAGCUGGAGAAAGGUUGCUGAGGAGAGAAGGAAGGUCUGGAGGCUUGAAGCAAGGCAAGGUUCCCCAGACACCUGCAAUCCGUUCCGCGCGCCCCUCACCACGUCUGCCAGUUGUACCGCUGCACGGCUGGAGAUGCUCCCAUCUGUUUCGCGUCUACGAAUCCCUCUCAUUGUGUCGUCUUCCACUUUGCUUUUAGACCAGCUGUGUUACCGCGCUGGAGCCCUUGUUCCCUGUUGACAUUGAGUCUUCACCCUUGAACUGCGUCUUCAGAAACAUGACUGCCAAGUUCCUACAUGGUCUGCAAGCUGGUGGUAACGUUCAUGAAAGGUCAGAUAGAGGAGCAUGACCAAGAAGACUGUAAGGACCAUAUUCCAAAGAGAUGGGCUCUUUGAAGGGAAAUAAUGCAGGAGCAAAUGAUUUGGGUUUCAUCUUUGAGAAGAUGAAAGAGGAAGACCUGAUGUUAUGAAGAGAAUGCUCAAAACAUUUUUAGAGCCUAUCUAACGCAGGUUUGGAUCUGGAAGGAGAGAAGGCGCGCGGUUGUUGCUAUUGCAGGACUCUCUGGAACACUCACUCGGACAUCAGUGAGAGUAGAAGCGAAGAGAUGUCGCAGAUGGACUCAAGCCAGGGUUGCUCCUGAAAGGCUUGGUUGGGCUCCAGUCUGUUGUUUGCGUUUUAUACUCUAAAACCACAAGGUGGGGUGGGCAAGCAAGCGAAAUUUUACAGAUGCCUAAGAGGCAGUCAGCAGGUUGUUAAGGGUAACAUAGCCCAAUGUUUCUGCUAUUUCUCCAGGUCGUUAUGUUCCAAGUAGCCAGUAAAGACAUGCUUGUCAAAUAAGCAGGACAAGCAGUGCUUUGAAUAAGUCAUGAAAUGAAUCAAUAAAUCAGUAUUUAAUAAUAGGUCUCUGCUGCUUUCUUCUACUUUACUGGUAAAGAUCAUGGAAGAAGCAACUUCAAACGGAGAUGUGUAAAAUUGAUGCAUUGAGCUUCGAAGUGAAAUGACCCAAUGUAAAUGUCAAGGAAGUGGCUUCUGUCUCUCGGUUAAAAGGAGGUUGUAGCAGAUGAAGCAAAAGUCCAUUGCUAGCCCAUUGCCAUAAGGGAAAUGUUGAUCGUUAGCAUCUGAGUUGUGACAUAGAAGGUUGUGGGAAGAGUAGUCAGAGUGUGGAUGUGUUUGCAGGCAAAGCAAAGGAAAUUUUCUGACUCAUCAGAUUGGUCUGUGGUAGAAAAGUGAAAGUUUAGAAUGGGUUCAGAGUUUUGGUUCAGAAGCUGAAAAGUUGGGGUUUCAGGAUCAUCAUGGGGGGCCUUUGGGAAGCCCUUUGUUAACUUGUGCUGUGUGGCUUUCGAUGCAUAAACUUAGGAGAUCAUGGAGGGAACCAGCAUGGCCACAAUGGUGGUUAAGAAUUGAGCCACAAAGACUUCUGGGCUUUGGAAAACUGAGAGAUGAGGAGACCUAAGACUGACUAGAGAGGAUGACCAGUGACAACUGUCCUGUGGCCACGUCAAAGACGAGAUCCCCUGAUUCACAGUCGUGUUUGUUCAGGGCAGAUCUUUACCACCUUUGGAAUCCUAGGCACAAAAGCCUGCCGGUUAAGGAAAACAGAAGGUGCUGGAUGUGGACCACCACGCCAGCUUCUACACUCCCAAGAACUCCAGCAAACACCAGGAUUCCUGUAUCACGCUCAGUUGACCACAAGCACCAUUCACUCAGAUGCCAGGCUAGCCAUGUGUGAUUUGUAUAUUGUUGCACCAGGGAGGCACCAUUUGGAGGCCUUGUUGGAGUAAGUGUGUCACUGUGGGUGUGGGCUUAAUACUCUCACCCUAGGUGCCUGGAAAUCAGUCUUCCACUAGCAGCCUUUGGAUGAAGACGUAGAACUCUCAGCUCCUCCUGCACCAUGCCUGCCUGGAUGCUGCCAUGCUCCUACCUUGAUGGUAGUGGACUGAACCUCUGAAUCUGUAAGCCAGCUCCAAUUAAAUGUUGAUUUUUUUUUCAAUAA
This 2113-nucleotide long non-coding RNA is filed under the name Mus musculus (house mouse). Its description in RNAcentral is "predicted gene 10699 (Gm10699)". The record is from RNAcentral. Lineage: Eukaryota; Metazoa; Chordata; Mammalia; Rodentia; Muridae.